RNAcentral lists this small RNA (566 nucleotides) under Arabidopsis thaliana (thale cress). Its description in RNAcentral is "ATSL078540". The record is from RNAcentral. Lineage: Eukaryota; Viridiplantae; Streptophyta; Magnoliopsida; Brassicales; Brassicaceae.
UAUAUAUACUACAAAUAAUUAAUAACAUAUUAGAUGUGAUUCAAUUUUUAAUACAAACUGGAAAAUCCUAGAAUUGACGGGUUUAGAUCGAUAUUAAUACAAGAUGGUAUACUACAGGUGAAACUCUUAAAUUAACAAUCAAACUACAAGCGUAUAAUCUUAAACACUAAACAAUAUAGAUAAUAUCAACAAAACAUAUACAACUCACAGUUUACUAUACAUUUAAAAUCAAAUAAAAUAAUAUCAUAUAUUUUUUAAUCAUCUUUACAAUAAAAGUUUUUAGUUUAACUAAAAUAUAAGCCUACAUGCGGUAUACUGCAGGUUAAUAUUUAGAUUAUAGAGCUUAUUUGAUCUAAAGACGGGUCAUCAAAGAUUUCCUAAACUGAAGCAAAAUAUACUAAAUAUUCAAAUAUCUACAUGUUACCAAAUUAUAAACAAAUAAGUCAAUUUAAUAUUUUAUAUACGAAAUCAAUUAAAUCUUAAUCACAUAAAAAUUAGCACAAAAAAAAAGUAUUCAACAAUUAAAAUUUUAUCAAAUCUCUGUGUUAUAUAAGUUUUAAUACUAU